AACGCGAAGAACCUUACCUACCCUUGACAUGCCAGGAAUCCUGCAGAGAUGUGGGAGUGCUCGAAAGAGAACCUGGACACAGGUGCUGCAUGGCCGUCGUCAGCUCGUGUCGUGAGAUGUUGGGUUAAGUCCCACAACGAGCGCAACCCUUGUCAUUAGUUGCUACGAAAGGGCACUCUAAUGAGACUGCCGGCGACAAACCGGAGGAAGGUGGGGAUGACGUCAGGUCAUCAUGGCCCUUAUGGGUAGGGCUACACACGUCAUACAAUGGCCGGGAUAGAGGGCUGCCAACCCGCGAGGGGGAGCUAAUCCCAGAAACCCGGUCGUAGUCCGGAUCGUAGUCUGCAACUCGACUGCGUGAAGUCGGAAUCGCUAGUAAUCGCGGAUCAGCUUGCCGCGGUGAAUACGUUCCCGGGUCUUGUACACACCG
RNAcentral lists this ribosomal RNA (430 nucleotides) under uncultured bacterium. Its description in RNAcentral is "bacterial SSU rRNA". It matches the Rfam family "Bacterial small subunit ribosomal RNA", at positions 958 to 1392 of the family's 1533-position model. The record is from RNAcentral.